GACGAACUGUCCUAACGUUGUUCGGAAUCACUGGGCUUAAAGGGCGCGUAGGCGGUCCGACAAGUCGAACGUGAAAUCCCCGGGCUCAACCCGGGAACUGCGUCCGAUACUGGCAGGCUUGAAUCCGGGAGAGGGAUGCGGAAUUCCAGGUGUAGCGGUGAAAUGCGUAGAUAUCUGGAGGAACACCGGUGGCGAAGGCGGCAUCCUGGACCGGUAUUGACGCUGAGGCGCGAAAGCCAGGGGAGCAAACGGG
RNAcentral lists this ribosomal RNA (253 nucleotides) under uncultured bacterium. Its description in RNAcentral is "partial 16S ribosomal RNA". It matches the Rfam family "Bacterial small subunit ribosomal RNA", at positions 524 to 776 of the family's 1533-position model. The record is from RNAcentral.